AGCAGGACAGUGUCUGAUGAUUCUGGGAUGGAAUCCACAUGUAGGAUAACUUCCCAGCCCACAUUCUGAAAUACCACUUGAAAGAAGACUUUUACUCUUGAGCCUCCUGCUUCAGAAGGGACAGCCACACCCCGUUUCAAGGCUAUACACACACCCAGGAUUGACACAUCUCACCAUGCCCUGGGAGGAAUUCAGCACAAACUAGAAGAAACAGAAUGGCAAAGAGCUGUUUUGACUCCACCACAUGAAAUGUCUACUGGCAAGACUUCCAUCUUCCCUCAGAGUCCUGGAAUUGCGAGGCUGGAUAGGUGACAGCUGGGACGACUUGCUGCUCUUCCGGAGGACCAGAGUUUGGUUACCAGAACUCACUCUGUGGCUCACGACCACCUGUAACUCCAGCUUCAGGGGAUCUGAGGUCCUCUUCAGGCCUCCACAGGAAUUUGCAUGCAUGUGCAUGUACCUCCACACAGGCAUGUACAUAUGAAUAUAAUUAGAAUUAGGAGUCCUCAAAUUGCCCCAAAAUUUCCUUUCUUUCCUAAGCAACCCUACCGAGAAUCUCUAGUUUCCAUCAUUAUGAACAAACACAAAGACCCAUCUCUCCACACCUGCUUGCUGAUCCAUGUAAAAUCAUACCUGACGUACUCCGCAUACCAGUCAGAAGUUUGCUUGGAUUUAAUGGCUCCCAGUAAUGGUUAGGAGGUACAUAUAGACAGCCUGGCUGGAGAGGCGGAGCUUGACAUUUUCUCAGUAGUGUGAACUGGGUGGCCCAAGGUAGACCUGGAGCCUGAUAAGGCUUUCUUUGGGUUCAUAAAAGAUGAACAUUUGAAUGUCAGAAGCAAGCAGUGUUUUAGGAAUUAAGUAUUGCAAUAAUUACCUUUUAUAUAAUUCACCAUGACAACUUCCUAAUGUUUAGCUGUCUCAUAGUUUGAUAAAUAAGGAUUACCAAUGAAAAAAGAAAAAAUUAAUGAUUUUUAAAAUAA
Rattus norvegicus (Norway rat) is the source of this 980-nucleotide long non-coding RNA. RefSeq lists it as uncharacterized. The record is from RefSeq and is a predicted model, not a curated record. Lineage: Eukaryota; Metazoa; Chordata; Mammalia; Rodentia; Muridae.